UUCCAUUCAAAAGUGGUCAGUCAUAUACAUUCAUUACGUGCACACCUUGUUCUGUUCCUUUUCCUUUUGUCAUAUAUAUAUAGAGAUUAUGUAGUUAAUCAUCAGUUGGGCAUGAAGGGGCAGUCUAACAUUGCUUAACUAUUUGUAUGACCAAUCUGUUAAUAAUUCUGAUCAUCUCAUGAAAUUUGAAUUUGCUGAAUGGCAUAACAAUAUGCACAUUCUUAAUGUUUACUUUUGGUGUCCGAUAAAUUACCAGUGUUAUGUGUUUUGCCUUUGCUUUGUCAUGGCUGGCUUAGGAAAAGAGAAUAGUGCAGAAGAUAUGUUGGUUAGUGGUUAAAUCCUUAUCUUAGGUAGUUCAAAAGAGCAGUGACAAGGAGGGCGGGGGUGGAUAGGUGAGUUAGUAUGUCUGCACUCCGUAAUACUACCUGAUCUGCAGAAGUAUCAUUGUUGUUAAAGGCUUAACAGGCUCUAGGUUUAGCACCUCUAUCAUGGUCAAAUGUCAACCUAAGCGAGGUGUGCGUAUUAUUCUCUAGACACACUCCUUUUUCCAGGCAUAAGGCACCAUGAAGGCACACCUCUAAUUAAAUUUUGGAUGCAGCCAUUUAUUUUUGUAUUUACUUGAUGUUAUUUUUCAUCUAUAUGACAUUGAUACAAGGUUGAGCAUUGGUUUAUAGUUUAUUGUAUUGCACCCAAUU
Molecule: unclassified non-coding RNA, 695 nt
Filed under: Hevea brasiliensis (rubber tree)
Lineage: Eukaryota; Viridiplantae; Streptophyta; Magnoliopsida; Malpighiales; Euphorbiaceae
Source: RNAcentral